RNAcentral lists this transfer RNA (68 nucleotides) under Haplotropis brunneriana. RNAcentral describes it as "tRNA-Gly". It matches the Rfam family "tRNA". Rfam says of the family: Transfer RNA (tRNA) molecules are approximately 80 nucleotides in length. The record is from RNAcentral. Lineage: Eukaryota; Metazoa; Arthropoda; Insecta; Orthoptera; Pamphagidae.
GUUCUUUUAGUAUAAAAUAGUACAACUGACUUCCAAUCAGUAGGCUUGAUCUAAGAUCAAGAAAAACA